Molecule: ribosomal RNA, 237 nt
Filed under: uncultured bacterium
Lineage: Bacteria
Description: partial small subunit ribosomal RNA
Rfam family: Bacterial small subunit ribosomal RNA
Source: RNAcentral
AGAGCGAACGCUGGCGGCAGGCCUAACACAUGCAAGUCGAGCGCGUGUAGCAAUACACGAGCGGCAGACGGGAGAGUAACACGUGGGAACGCGCCCUUUGGUUCGGAAUAACUCAGGGAAACUUGAGCUAAUACCGGAUAAGCCCUUACGGGGAAAGAUUUAUCGCCAAAGGAACGGCCCGCGUCCGAUUAGCUAGUUGGUGAGGUAACGGCUCACCAAAGGCGACGACGGGUAGCU